Styela clava is the source of this 2825-nucleotide non-coding RNA. The record is from RefSeq and is a predicted model, not a curated record. Lineage: Eukaryota; Metazoa; Chordata; Ascidiacea; Stolidobranchia; Styelidae.
CCGGUGGCCACCAUCUUGCUUCACAUACUUCGGGAUUCGGGAGUAUCGAAUUUUAUAUAUAAAAUUUUUGCUUUACAUUACGUGAUUACCGCGGAAGUGCUUAAAAAUCGCUUUUUCAUGGACACGCCCUAGAUUCAAUUUUACAGCUAUUGCACUGCCGUAAUUACAUUAACUCGAGAGUCGUUUUCUCUACAUUAUAGGAAAUGUUUACCGACCUUGUUCUUGUACAUAUUAUCUUUAUUGCACGAUUCUAUAGAAUUGUUUACUGUCAUAUAUUAUAAAACGACCCGCCUUCCCGUAUUUGAAUAAGCGCGGUUAUUUCGAAAAAUUUGAAUUUCGCAAUUAUUUUACGUCACUUGGCCUUGAUGCCGUCAGUCUAUAAUUGUACGUUAUGCCUGGUUUAAACAUGGUCAGAAAUAUUUCUUAGUUCAUAGAUAAUCAAGUAUAAAGCGUAUACAAUGAGUAACUAAGCCAUGCUUGGCAUCGCGCUUUCGAAAACGUAACUUGACGAUGUGGUAUUUAAAAUUAUAGGGCAUGUUAGUGAGAUGCGAUAAAGCGCUCUGGCUUGAAAUGUGAGAAUUUCUAUAUUUUUCCGAGAUUUUUUUUUGAAAAAUAUUGUACAUUUCUUGUGCGGGAUUCUUGAAGAAUUGAAAUACAACCGCAUGUUUGGGUUAGCUACCGGUAGAUGGGUUGUAAAAGAAGCUUUAAUUUGGCGUCACAACUUUGUCCUAACUAAAAAUACGAUGCAAGUGGAGCCUGGACAUUCACCCAGAUGUCGAAGUGUUCUAAUUUAUUGAAAACGUUUUUCAAUUUUGACAUCGCGUGUAGAAUUUGGAAGGCUCUUUCAAAUCUUUUAUACCGUACAAGACUCGGUCCGGUAACCAUUGAUAUGUAUGUAAGAGCUGUUUACUAAUAAUUUUUAUUUCAAUCUCCGAUACCGAUCCGAUCAACAUAUCGGGCCAGAAUCUCUUAUUGAUAUUGUUGAAUUUCUCGUAUAUUAUACGCCUAAAAUAACAAAAAGCGCGAAGAAGAGUUGAUAUAAAUACGGGCUUAUCUGUGUGAAACUUCACAUUGUCAUUUUCUCCGAACAGUAUACAAUUACCCCGCCUUACGCAAUUUCACGCAAAGGCAUUUUUCGAUCUUUUAUAUCUCCCUUGUCCAGUUAUACCAUACACCGAUACAUGAUAUCCUGGCUUAUUGUCCAGUUUACGAUACAAUUAAUGGGCAUCGUAAUUAGUAUCCUUCCAUCAGCUUCUGUCGUACACUGUUUGGACCGUUGCCGUGACAACGUAUGUACCGACGUGACCACUGCUAUAAAAUCUAUUAUGAUGUCAUUUGUUUUGCUCGACGACAUAAAGCACCAUAAUGGCACCACUAGCAUAAUCGUGCACCAAAUUCAACAAUCACAGCAAAGAGGAUUUUAUUUGUUGAUAUUUAGAUAUGUCAUCUAUGAUUUAUAUGAGGACCAUUUACUUUUCUUGUUCGAUCAAGUACGGGAACAAGAUAGUCCAUUUAUAAAAGCUAAAUUUGCUUUGGUCCAAACAUGUAUGUCGGAAGCAGAAAUCUUAAAAUUUGCACAAUGCAGUUUCUCUUCCAGUUAUAGUCUAUUAGUUAAACAAUUGAUCAUAAGACCACCAACAAAGCUUGUUUUGCUCGCAUUUGUUGUUUUAUUAUUUCGUCACAAUUUAAAAAAAUAAUUUUCAAAACAACAACAUUGGUUAGCUUGGUUCCCCAAGCUUGCAACCAUAUUUGACUAUUGCCUCAAAAAAAUGCUAUUGCUGUUAAAGCCAACUGGGUUUUUAAUGGUAGUCGUUUCGUUCAGUUCAGACGACGUUUUUGGACAGCAUCCUACUGAUCCAGUGGUAGGAGUGUACGUUAUGUAUAGCUUCGCCUUCAAGAGCGAAUUACUCCAAGUAAUAAAAAGAAACUAAAGCAACAGCCUCAAAUAAAACGAGAAGCCGUCAGAUAAAUAGAAAAUGAACAAUUUUUUUCACCUGAAGCAGAGCAUACAGAAUUUCAGGAAGAGACAAGUCAGCACCUUCUAAUCAAAUCCACCUGUUUUAAAUAAUUUUGGCGGUUGUCAUCAUUUUCCUUUGCACAAUUUGAGAUAUUAUGCAUUCUCUACUAUUUUAGCUACUAUUUAUUGUUUUCUUGCAAAUGAUGUGAACAGUCUCCGUAUUGUUUGUUGAAGUUUCCAGCCUGGCUUAAGUUCGGAGGUAAAAUACACCGAAACUGUUCUUCCUUACCACUACUGUUAGCUUGGAGUAGGGAUAUAUUGCCAAAAUCGUCAUCUGAAUGGUGUCUCACAUAUAUAUGUACAGAGUGACUAAAAAAGUACGGAGUAUGGCCAGAAUCACUUGCGAUGUUGUUAUCCCGCAGAAUGAAGUAACUAACUCUUGAAGUAACUUACGUUUGAAAAAAUAAGAAUACAGUAUUGUUUGUAUCUCUUCUGUAGGAACGGCUCAUGAGGAAAGUUAUUCUAUGACAACUGAGACUGAAUAGUCCUUAAUACUUAUAUAUAAUACUUAAAUUGGAUCUAUAUAAGUAAAUGGUAAAUCAGGAAUUAGCGAACAGUAUUAAUGCACACUUUAGUACCAACAGAAAAGUGUAAUUUUGUUAUUAAUGAGAAGCCGAUUGAGCAUUUUAAAUUGAUAUAGAAAUUUAAAAACGGGGUCUGCUUCCAAAUCAUAUAUUACGUUGUGAAAAAAUCCUUGCAAUUACGGACAAAAAAACAUAGUAACUAUAUAUAUAAUAAUACUAGAAAAUUGUUUUUACGAUAAUAAAAAUACUUUUACAGUGGCAGUUAAUUAAAAGAUAAAACACUA